RNAcentral lists this ribosomal RNA (657 nucleotides) under Meira sp. (in: smut fungi & allies). RNAcentral describes it as "SSU rRNA". It matches the Rfam family "Eukaryotic small subunit ribosomal RNA", at positions 457 to 1109 of the family's 1831-position model. The record is from RNAcentral. Lineage: Eukaryota; Fungi; Basidiomycota; Exobasidiomycetes; Exobasidiales; Brachybasidiaceae.
CAGGGAGGUAGUGACAAUAAAUAACAAUAUAGGGCCUUACAGGUCUUAUAAUUGGAAUGAGUACAAUUUAAAUCCCUUAACGAGGAACAAUUGGAGGGCAAGUCUGGUGCCAGCAGCCGCGGUAAUUCCAGCUCCAAUAGCGUAUAUUAAAGUUGUUGCAGUUAAAAAGCUCGUAGUUGAAUUUCAGGCCCUGGUCGAUCGGUCCGCUUCACGGCGUGCACUGUUUCGAUUGGGCCUUCCUUUCUUGGUGAGCCUUGCAUGCCGUUUAUUCGGUGUGCAAGUGUCUGGCCAGGACUUUUACUUUGAAAAAAUUAGAGUGUUCAAAGCAGGCCUAUGCCCGAAUAUAUUAGCAUGGAAUAAUAGAAUAGGACGUUGCGGUCCUAUUUUGUUGGUUUCUAGGAUCCGCCGUAAUGAUUAAUAGGGAUAGUCGGGGGCAUUCGUAUUCACAUGCUAGAGGUGAAAUUCUUGGAUUUUGUGAAGACGAACUACUGCGAAAGCAUUUGCCAAGGAUGUUUUCAUUAAUCAAGAACGAAGGUUAGGGGAUCGAAAACGAUUAGAUACCGUUGUAGUCUUAACAGUAAACUAUGCCGACUAGGGAUCGGACGAUGUUAUUUUUUCUUGACUCGUUCGGCACCUUGAGAGAAAUCAAAGUCUUGG